Molecule: ribosomal RNA, 526 nt
Filed under: uncultured Clostridia bacterium
Lineage: Bacteria; Bacillati; Bacillota; Clostridia
Description: bacterial SSU rRNA
Rfam family: Bacterial small subunit ribosomal RNA
Source: RNAcentral
GUUUGAUCCUGGCUCAGGACGAACGCUGGCGGCGUGCUUAACACAUGUAAGUCGAACGGGGAUAUGGAUAUGAGCCACCUUCGGGUGAGGAGUAUGUAUAUUCUAGUGGCGAACGGGUGAGUAACGCGUGAGCAAUCUGUCCCGUGCAGGGGGAUAACACCAGGAAACUGGUGCUAAUACCGCGUAAGGCCAUUGGGUCACAUGAUUCGAUGGUGAGAGGAGAAAUCCGGCACAGGAAGAGCUCGCGUCCCAUUAGAUAGUAGGCGGGGUAACGGCCCACCUAGUCUGCGAUGGGUAGCCGACCUGAGAGGGUGAACGGCCACACUGGAACUGAGACACGGUCCAGACUCCUACGGGAGGCAGCAGUGGGGAAUAUUGGGCAAUGGGCGCAAGCCUUACCCAGCAACGCCGCGUGAGAGAAGAAGGUUUUCGGAUUGUAAAUCUCUGUCCUUGGGGAAGAAGACAGUGACGGUACCCAAGGAGGAAGCCCCGGCUAACUACGUGCCAGCAGCCGCGGUAAGACGUA